GAUGAACGCUGGCGGCGUGCCUAAUACAUGCAAGUCGAGCGAACAGACGAGGAGCUUGCUCCUCUGACGUUAGCGGCGGACGGGUGAGUAACACGUGGAUAACCUACCUAUAAGACUGGGAUAACUUCGGGAAACCGGAGCUAAUACCGGAUAAUAUAUUGAACCGCAUGGUUCAAUAGUGAAAGACGGUUUUGCUGUCACUUAUAGAUGGAUCCGCGCCGCAUUAGCUAGUUGGUAAGGUAACGGCUUACCAAGGCAACGAUGCGUAGCCGACCUGAGAGGGGGAUGGGCCACACUGAGACUGAGCGGCGGUCCAGGCUCCUAGGGGAGGCACCGUUAGGGAACCUUCGGCAAUGGCGAAAGCCUGACGGAGCAACGCCGCGUGAGUGAUGAAGGUCUUCGGAUCGUAAAACUCUGUUAUUAGGGAAGAACAAAUGUGUAAGUAACUAUGCACGUCUUGACGGUACCUAAUCAGAAAGCCACGGCUAACUACGUG
This 496-nucleotide ribosomal RNA is filed under the name uncultured bacterium. RNAcentral's name for it is "partial 16S ribosomal RNA". It matches the Rfam family "Bacterial small subunit ribosomal RNA", at positions 28 to 507 of the family's 1533-position model. The record is from RNAcentral.